Long non-coding RNA from Gorilla gorilla gorilla (western lowland gorilla), 563 nucleotides. RefSeq lists it as uncharacterized. The record is from RefSeq and is a predicted model, not a curated record. The transcript has 3 exons. Lineage: Eukaryota; Metazoa; Chordata; Mammalia; Primates; Hominidae.
GGAGAUUGCUGGCAAGAUGGCCAUAUGGGAACAGCUCCGGGCUGCAGCUCCUAGCGAGAUCAACACAGAAGGCGGGUGAUUUCGGCAUUUCCAACUGAGACAGGGAUCAGAUUCAGUAUAUGCUGUCCCAAAACACUGGCAUCUGAGAAAACAGCAGAAGCAUUUUACUCUCACCUCUCCCACCUUUCCCCUGAAGUAGGUCAAAAGAUCCUCAUUGCGAAGUCCCCUCCUUAUACCCAGAGAAAGGAAACAUCCUUACCUUUGAAGGAACAGGGACACAGGAAAGAAUCCAAGUUCUCCUGCAGAAGAAUGUGGAAGAGAAUGAAUUUAUGCAAGCCAAGGUUAUCCCAGGCAAGUCAGAGCCCAACAAAGCCACCAGCUGACCACAGAUGUAUAAAGGAUGAGAUCAGCCAAGCCUCAUCUAGAUCAUCAGAACAGCCAGCCAAAAAGCAGAACCAUGAAAAAUAACAAAUGCUUGUUGCUUUAAGCCACUCAUUUGGGGAGAAAGUUGGUAUGCAGAAAUAAAUAACUGAUACAGUAAAAUAAGUAAAGUUAAAGGGAAC